ACUCCUACGGGAGGCAGCAGUGGGAAUAUUGCGCAAUGGGCGAAAGCCUGACGCAGCCACGCCGCGUGAGCGAUGAAGGCCCUAGGGUCGUAAAGCAUCUGUGGAGGGAGAAGAAACCUGACGGUAUCCCUUAGCAAGCACCGGCUAACUCCGUGCCAGCAGCCGCGGUAAUACGGAGGGUGCAAACGUUGCUCGGGAAUCAUUGGGCGUAAAGCACAUGUAGGCGGCUGCGCAAGUUGGAUGUGAAAGCCCAGGGCUCAACCCU
This 265-nucleotide ribosomal RNA is filed under the name uncultured bacterium. Its description in RNAcentral is "partial 16S ribosomal RNA". It matches the Rfam family "Bacterial small subunit ribosomal RNA", at positions 335 to 616 of the family's 1533-position model. The record is from RNAcentral.